CAGUCGAGCGACAGAUAAGGAGCUUGCUCCUUUGACGUUAGCGGCGGACGGGUGAGUAACACGUGGGUAACCUACCUAUAAGACUGGAAUAACUCCGGGAAACCGGGGCUAAUGCCGGAUAACAUUUAGAACCGCAUGGUUCUAAAGUGAAAGAUGGUUUUGCUAUCACUUAUAGAUGGACCCGCGCCGUAUUAGCUAGUUGGUAAGGUAAUGGCUUACCAAGGCAACGAUACGUAGCCGACCUGAGAGGGUGAUCGGCCACACUGGAACUGAGACACGGUCCAGACUCCUACGGGAGGCAGCAGUAGGGAAUCUUCCGCAAUGGGCGAAAGCCUGACGGAGCAACGCCGCGUGAGUGAUGAAGGGUUUCGGCUCGUAAAACUCUGUUAUUAGGGAAGAACAAACGUGUAAGUAACUGUGCACGUCUUGACGGUACCUAAUCAGAAAGCCACGGCUAACUACGUGCCAGCAGCCGCGGUAAUACGUAGGUGGCAAGCGUUAUCCGGAAUUAUUGGGCGUAAAGCGCGCGUAGGCGGUUYCUUAAGUCUGAUGUGAAAGCCCACGGCUCAACCGUGGAGGGUCAUUGGAAACUGGGAGACUUGAGUGCAGAAGAGGAAAGUGGAAUUCCAUGUGUAGCGGUGAAAUGCGCAGAGAUAUGGAGGAACACCAGUGGCGAARGCGACUUUCUGGUCUGUAACUGACGCUGAUGUGCGAAAGCGUGGGGAUCAAACAGGAUUAGAUACCCUGGUAGUCCACGCCGUAAACGAUGAGUGCUAAGUGUUAGGGGGUUUCCGCCCCUUAGUGCUGCAGCUAACGCAUAAGCACUCCGCCUGGGGAGUACGAMCGCAAGGUUGAAACUCAAAGGAAUKGACGGGGACCCGCACAAGCGGUGGAGCAUGURGUYURAKUCGAAGCAACGCGAAGAACCUUACCWARUCUKGACAUCCWUUGACCASUCUAGCAGAUAGAGCUUUCCCCUUCGGGGGACAAAGUGACAGGUGGUGCAUGGUUGUCGUCAGCUCGUGUCGUGAGAUGUUGGGUUAAGUCCCGCAACGAGCGCAACCCUUAAACUUAGUUGCCAGCAUUUAGUUGGGCACUCUAGGUUGACUGCCGGUGACAAACCGGAAGAAGGUGGGGAUGACGUCAAAUCAUCAUGCCCCUUAUGAUUUGGGCUACACACGUGCUACAAUGGACAA
Molecule: ribosomal RNA, 1196 nt
Filed under: Staphylococcus sp. JAS9
Lineage: Bacteria; Bacillati; Bacillota; Bacilli; Caryophanales; Staphylococcaceae
Description: bacterial SSU rRNA
Rfam family: Bacterial small subunit ribosomal RNA
Source: RNAcentral